CAGCUCAUGCCUCCCGGCGGCCUUCCCGGCCUCCUGCCUCCCGAAGGCCUGCACGGGCCCAGCCUCAGCCUCACAGCGGACUCUCCACGCCCAGCUAGCUCUCGCCUCACUGCGGCCUCCCCAGUCGAAAGCUCCUGCCUUUCGGCCGCUUUGGCAGGCCCAGCUCCUGCCUGCCAGUGGCCUCUUUAGGCCCAGCUCAUUCCUCACAACGGCCUUUCCAGGCCCCGUUUUUCCCUUCCGGCAGCCUUUUGGCCUCUAAUUUGUUUAUCUUUUGUGUAUAAAUCCCAAAAUAUGGAAUUUUGGAAUAUUGCUACCAUUAUAUAAAUAUUUUCGUAUGUAAUUUAUUUGGAGUGAGUUUCUGCACCAAGCCUGAAUUUUUUAUUUUAUUUUCCUUAUUAUUUGGUGUUAAACAGGUUUAAUGACGGUCAUGGCAACUUUUUGGCACAAUGAAAAAUACCACCCA
This 463-nucleotide long non-coding RNA is filed under the name Homo sapiens (human). RNAcentral's name for it is "HSALNT0122224". The record is from RNAcentral. Lineage: Eukaryota; Metazoa; Chordata; Mammalia; Primates; Hominidae.